AGAAGCUGUAGCAAUACAGUUGUAAAGUGGCAAACGGGUGAGUAAUGCGUGGGUAAUCUACCCUAGGGUGGGGAAUAACUCCUCGAAAGGGGAGCUAAUGCCGACAUGUGCGCCACUCUCGCAAGGGAGUGAUGGAAAGCCGUACCGUGGGUGCGGCGCCCAAGGAUGAGCUCACGUCCUAUCAGCUUGUUGGCGGGGUAACGGCCCACCAAGGCUGCGACGGGUAGCUGGUCUGAGAGGACGACCAGCCACACUGGCACUGCGACACGGGCCAGACUCCUACGGGAGGCAGCAGUGAGGAAUAUUGCGCAAUGGACGACAGUCUGACGCAGCGACGCCGCGUGGGGGAUGAAGGCCUUCGGGUUGUAAACCCCUUUCAGGAGGGAAGAUGGGACGGGUAACCGUUCGGACGGUACCUCCAGAAGCAGCCACGGCUAACUCUGUGCCAGCAGCCGCGGUAAGACAGAGGUGGCAAGCGUUGUUCGGAUUUACUGGGCGUAAAGAGUGCGUAGGUGGUGAGGUAAGAUCUGUGGGAAAGACCUGGGCUUAACCCAGGAAGGUCGCAGAUGACUGCCUCGCUUGAGGACGGGAGAGGAGAGCGGAAUUCCCGGUGUAGCGGUGAAAUGCGUAGAGAUCGGGAAGAAGGCCGGUGGCGAAGGCGGCUCUCUGGAACGUUCCUGACACUGAGGCACGAAAGCGUGGGGAGCAAACAGGAUUAGAUACCCUGGUAGUCCACGCCCUAAACGAUGGAUACUAAGUGUCGGCGGGUUACCGCCGGUGCCGCACCUAACGGAGUAAGUAUCCCGCCUGGGGAGUACGGCCGCAAGGU
Molecule: ribosomal RNA, 829 nt
Filed under: uncultured bacterium
Lineage: Bacteria
Description: bacterial SSU rRNA
Rfam family: Bacterial small subunit ribosomal RNA
Source: RNAcentral